AUUGAACGCUGGCGGAAUGCUUUACACAUGCAAGUCGAACGGCAGCACGGACUUCGGUCUGGUGGCGAGUGGCGAACGGGUGAGUAAUGUAUCGGAACGUGCCCGGUCGUGGGGGAUAACGUAGUGAAAAUUACGCUAAUACCGCAUACGAUCUAUGGAUGACAGCGGGGGAUCGCAAGACCUCGCGCGAUUGGAGCGGCCGAUAUCAGAUUAGGUAGGUGGUGGGGUAAAGGCCCACCAAGCCAACGAUCUGUAGCUGGUCUGAGAGGACGACCAGCCACACUGGAACUGAGACACGGUCCAGACUCCUACGGGAGGCAGCAGUGGGGAAUUUUGGACAAUGGGCGAAAGCCUGAUCCAGCCAUUCCGCGUGCAGGAUGAAGGCCCUCGGGUUGUAAACUGCUUUUGUACAGAACGAAAAGGUUUCUACUAAUACUAGGAGCUCAUGACGGUACUGUAAGAAUAAGCACCGGCUAACUACGUGCCAGCCGCCGCCGUAA
This 500-nucleotide ribosomal RNA is filed under the name uncultured bacterium. RNAcentral describes it as "partial 16S ribosomal RNA". It matches the Rfam family "Bacterial small subunit ribosomal RNA", at positions 30 to 523 of the family's 1533-position model. The record is from RNAcentral.